Molecule: ribosomal RNA, 440 nt
Filed under: uncultured bacterium
Lineage: Bacteria
Description: partial 16S ribosomal RNA
Rfam family: Bacterial small subunit ribosomal RNA
Source: RNAcentral
CCUACGGGAGGCAGCAGUGGGGGAUAUUGCACAAUGGGGGAAACCCUGAUGCAGCGACGCCGCGUGUAGGAAGACGGUCCUCUGGAUUGUAAACCACUGUCCCCAGGUACGAAGUUGACGGUACCUGGGGAUGAAGCUCCGGCUAACUACGUGCCAGCAGCCGCGGUAAUACGUAGGCAGCAAGCGUUGUCCGGAAUUAAUGGGUGUAAAGCGAACGUAGGCGGGAUGGCAAGUUGGGUGUUAAAUCUACCGGCUCAACUGGUAGUCGCACUCAAAACUGCUAUUCUUGAGUGAAGUAGAGGAAGGCGGAAUGCCUAGUGUAGCGGUGAAAUGCGUAGAUAUUAGGAGGAACACCAGUGGCGAAGGCGGCCUGCUGGGCUUUUACUGACGCUGAGGCUCGAAAGUGUGGGGAGCAAACAGGAUUAGAUACCCUUGUAGUC